Molecule: ribosomal RNA, 253 nt
Filed under: uncultured bacterium
Lineage: Bacteria
Description: partial 16S ribosomal RNA
Rfam family: Bacterial small subunit ribosomal RNA
Source: RNAcentral
UACGAAGGGGGCUAGCGUUGUUCGGAAUUACUGGGCGUAAAGCGCACGUAGGCGGAUAUUUAAGUCAGGGGUGAAAUCCCAGAGCUCAACUCUGGAACUGCCUUUGAUACUGGGUAUCUUGAGUAUGGAAGAGGUAAGUGGAAUUCCGAGUGUAGUGGUGAAAUGCGUAGAUAUCAGGAGGAACACCGGUGGCGAAGGCGGAUCUCUGGGCCUGUUCUGACGCUGAGGCGCGAAAGCUAGGGGAGCGAACAGG